GACGAACGCUGGCGGCGUGCUUAACACAUGCAAGUCGAGCGGUAAGGCCCUUUCGGGGGUACACGAGCGGCGAACGGGUGAGUAAUGCUUAGGAAUCUGCCUAGUAGUGGGGGGAUAACCCGGGGAAACUCGGGCUAAUACCGCAUACGCCCUACGGGGGAAAGGCGGGGGACGUUCGGCCUCGCGCUAUUAGAUGAGCCUAAGUCCGAUUAGCUAGUUGGUAGGGUAAUGGCCUACCAAGGCGACGAUCGGUAGCUGGCUGAGAGGACGACCAGCCAC
This 279-nucleotide ribosomal RNA is filed under the name uncultured bacterium. Its description in RNAcentral is "partial 16S ribosomal RNA". It matches the Rfam family "Bacterial small subunit ribosomal RNA", at positions 28 to 311 of the family's 1533-position model. The record is from RNAcentral.